This 96-nucleotide non-coding RNA is filed under the name unclassified sequences. RNAcentral's name for it is "SAM-I-IV sequence". It matches the Rfam family "SAM-I/IV (S-adenosyl methionine) riboswitch aptamer". From Rfam's summary of the family: It is found upstream of a number of genes which code for proteins involved in methionine or cysteine biosynthesis. It has been found mostly in the order Actinomycetales. The record is from Rfam by way of RNAcentral.
AAAAAUCAUCAAGAGUGAGAUUAGGUUCUCCUCCAACCUGCCAACUCCGGCAAGGUGGAAAAAAGAUGAGGUUAAUCAACAAGUAUAGGAGUGUUA